This 941-nucleotide ribosomal RNA is filed under the name Suillus grevillei. Its description in RNAcentral is "eukaryotic LSU rRNA". It matches the Rfam family "Eukaryotic large subunit ribosomal RNA", at positions 1 to 914 of the family's 3401-position model. Lineage: Eukaryota; Fungi; Basidiomycota; Agaricomycetes; Boletales; Suillaceae. The record is from RNAcentral.
UUGACCUCAAAUCAGGUAGGACUACCCGCUGAACUUAAGCAUAUCAAUAAGCGGAGGAAAAGAAACUAACAAGGAUUCCCCUAGUAACUGCGAGUGAACCGGGAAAAGCUCAAAUUUUGAAUCUGGCGGUCUUUAUGGCCGUCCGAGUUGUAAUCUAGAGAAGCGUCUUCCGCGCUGGACCGUGUAUAAGUUUCCUGGAAUGGAACGUCGUAGAGGGUGAGAAUCCCGUCUUUGACACGGACUGCCAGGGCUAUGUGAUGCGCUCUCGACGAGUCGAGUUGUUUGGGAAUGCAGCUCAAAUAGGGUGGUAAAUUCCAUCUAAAGCUAAAUACAGGCGAGAGACCGAUAGCGAACAAGUACCGUGAGGGAAAGAUGAAAAGAACUUUGGAAAGAGAGUUAAACAGUACGUGAAAUUGCUGAAAGGGAAACGCUUGAUGUCAGUCGCGUUCGUCGGGGAUCAGCCUUGCUCUUUUGCUCGGUGUACUUCCUGGCGGACGGGUCAGCAUCAGUUUUGUUCGUCGGAAAAUGGCUCGAGAAAUGUGGCACUCUUCGGGGUGUGUUAUAGACUCGGGUCGAAUACGACGUCCGGGACUGAGGAACUCAGCACGACCUUCGGGUUCGGGGCUUAGGCCCACGUUAACGUGCUUAGGAUGCUGGCAUAAUGGCCUUAAGCGACCCGUCUUGAAACACGGACCAAGGAGUCUAACUCGCAUGCGAGUGUUUGGGCGAUUAAAACCCGAGCGCGUAAUGAAAGUGAAAGUCGAGACCCCUGUCGUGGGGGGCAUCGACGCCCGGACCAGAGCUUCUGCGACGGAUCUGCGGUAGAGCAUGCGUGUUGGGACCCGAAAGAUGGUGAACUAUGCCUGAAUAGGGUGAAGCCAGAGGAAACUCUGGUGGAGGCUCGUAGCGAUUCUGACGUGCAAAUCGAUCGUCGAAUUUGG